UACGUAGGCAGCGAGCGUUGUUCGGAGUUACUGGGCGUAAAGGGUGUGUAGGCGGUUGUUUAAGUUUGGUGUGAAAUCUCCCGGCUCAACUGGGAGGGUGCGCCGAAUACUGAAUGACUUGGAGUGCGGGAGAGGAGAGUGGAAUUCCUGGUGUAGCGGUGAAAUGCGUAGAUAUCAGGAGGAACACCGGUGGUGUAGACAGCUUACUGGACCACUUCUGACGCUGAGACACGAAAGCGUGGGUAGCAAACAGG
RNAcentral lists this ribosomal RNA (254 nucleotides) under uncultured bacterium. RNAcentral's name for it is "partial 16S ribosomal RNA". It matches the Rfam family "Bacterial small subunit ribosomal RNA", at positions 524 to 776 of the family's 1533-position model. The record is from RNAcentral.